AACCCGAUGCAAACUGCGAAUACCGGAGAAUGUUAUCACGGGAGACACACGGCGGGUGCUAACGUCCGUCGUGAAGAGGGAAACAACCCAGACCGCCAGCUAAGGUCCCAAAGUCAUGGUUAAGUGGGAAACGAUGUGGGAAGGCCCAGACAGCCAGGAUGUUGGCUUAGAAGCAGCCAUCAUUUAAAGAAAGCGUAAUAGCUCACUGGUCGAGUCGGCCUGCGCGGAAGAUGUAACGGGGCUAAACCAUGCACCGAAGCUGCGGCAGCGACGCUUAUGCGUUGUUGGGUAGGGGAGCGUUCUGUAAGCCUGUGAAGGUGUGUUGUGAGGCAUGCUGGAGGUAUCAGAAGUGCGAAUGCUGACAUAAGUAACGAUAAAGCGGGUGAAAAGCCCGCUCGCCGGAAGACCAAGGGUUCCUGUCCAACGUUAAUCGGGGCAGGGUGAGUCGACCCCUAAGGCGAGGCCGAAAGGCGUAGUCGAUGGGAAACAGGUUAAUAUUCCUGUACUUGGUGUUACUGCGAAGGGGGGACGGAGAAGGCUAUGUUGGCCGGGCGACGGUUGUCCCGGUUUAAGCGUGUAGGCUGGUUUUCCAGGCAAAUCCGGAAAAUCAAGGCUGAGGCGUGAUGACGAGGCACUACGGUGCUGAAGCAACAAAUGCCCUGCUUCCAGGAAAAGCCUCUAAGCAUCAGGUAACAUCAAAUCGUACCCCAAACCGACACAGGUGGUCAGGUAGAGAAUACCAAGGCGCUUGAGAGAACUCGGGUGAAGGAACUAGGCAAAAUGGUGCCGUAACUUCGGGAGAAGGCACGCUGAUAUGUAGGUGAAGUCCCUUGCGGAUGGAGCUGAAAUCAGUCGAAGAUACCAGCUGGCUGCAACUGUUUAUUAAAAACACAGCACUGUGCAAACACGAAAGUGGACGUAUACGGUGUGACGCCUGCCCGGUGCCGGAAGGUUAAUUGAUGGGGUCAGCGCAAGCGAAGCUCUUGAUCGAAGCCCCGGUAAACGGCGGCCGUAACUAUAACGGUCCUAAGGUAGCGAAAUUCCUUGUCGGGUAAGUUCCGACCUGCACGAAUGGCGUAAUGAUGGCCAGGCUGUCUCCACCCGAGACUCAGUGAAAUUGAACUCGCUGUGAAGAUGCAGUGUACCCGCGGCAAGACGGAAAGACCCCGUGAACCUUUACUAUAGCUUGACACUGAACAUUGAGCCUUGAUGUGUAGGAUAGGUGGGAGGCUUAGAAGUGUGGACGCCAGUCUGCAUGGAGCCGACCUUGAAAUACCACCCUUUAAUGUUU
This 1291-nucleotide ribosomal RNA is filed under the name Escherichia coli. RNAcentral describes it as "partial 23S ribosomal RNA". It matches the Rfam family "Bacterial large subunit ribosomal RNA", at positions 941 to 2215 of the family's 2925-position model. The record is from RNAcentral. Lineage: Bacteria; Pseudomonadati; Pseudomonadota; Gammaproteobacteria; Enterobacterales; Enterobacteriaceae.